AGGAUCAUUACCGAACUGUCAAACACGGGCUGUUGCUGGUNNNNNAAAUGGGGGCAUGUGCACGCUCUGUUUUACACAUCCANUNNNACCUGUGCACCCACUGUAGUUCUAUGGUCGGGGGACCCUGUCUUCCUUCUGCGGUUCUGCAUCUUUACACAUANACCGUAACAAAGUCUUAAGGAAUGUGUGCUGCGUUUAACGCAAUACAGUACAACUUUCAGCAACGGAUCUCUUGGCUCUCGCAUCGAUGAAGAACGCAGCGAAAUGCGAUAAGUAAUGUGAAUUGCAGAAUUCAGUGAAUCAUCGAAUCUUUGAACGCACCUUGCGCCCCUUGGCUAUUCCGAAGGGCAUGCCUGUUUGAGUAUCAUGAACACCUCAACUCUCACGGCUUUCCGUGAUGAGCUUGGACUUUGGGGGUUUUGCUGGCCCAUGAGGUCUGCUCCUCUCAAACGAAUCAGCUUGCCGGUGUUUGGCGGCAACCGUGGGUGUGAUAACUAUCUACGCUCGUGGUUUUCUGCC
Molecule: ribosomal RNA, 519 nt
Filed under: uncultured Thelephoraceae
Lineage: Eukaryota; Fungi; Basidiomycota; Agaricomycetes; Thelephorales; Thelephoraceae
Description: eukaryotic LSU rRNA
Rfam family: 5.8S ribosomal RNA (bases 213-367)
Source: RNAcentral